RNAcentral lists this transfer RNA (71 nucleotides) under Ailuropoda melanoleuca (giant panda). It matches the Rfam family "tRNA". Rfam says of the family: Transfer RNA (tRNA) molecules are approximately 80 nucleotides in length. Their secondary structure includes four short double-helical elements and three loops (D, anti-codon, and T loops). Further hydrogen bonds mediate the characteristic L-shaped molecular structure. tRNAs have two regions of fundamental functional importance: the anti-codon, which is responsible for specific mRNA codon recognition, and the 3' end, to which the tRNAs corresponding amino acid is attached (by aminoacyl-tRNA synthetases). tRNAs cope with the degeneracy of the genetic code in two manners: having more than one tRNA (with a specific anti-codon) for a particular amino acid; and 'wobble' base-pairing, i.e. permitting non-standard base-pairing at the 3rd anti-codon position. The record is from Rfam by way of RNAcentral. Lineage: Eukaryota; Metazoa; Chordata; Mammalia; Carnivora; Ursidae.
ACCUAACUAGCUCAGGGGAAGAGCAAAUGACUCUUGAUCUUGGGGUCAUGAGUUCGAGCCCAUGUUGGGUG